UGAUAGAAGAGAGUGAGCAC
RNAcentral lists this microRNA (20 nucleotides) under Solanum lycopersicum (tomato). RNAcentral describes it as "sly-miR156e-5p". Its record names the gene sly-miR156e-5p. The record is from miRBase by way of RNAcentral. Lineage: Eukaryota; Viridiplantae; Streptophyta; Magnoliopsida; Solanales; Solanaceae.